This 253-nucleotide ribosomal RNA is filed under the name uncultured bacterium. Its description in RNAcentral is "partial 16S ribosomal RNA". It matches the Rfam family "Bacterial small subunit ribosomal RNA", at positions 524 to 776 of the family's 1533-position model. The record is from RNAcentral.
UACGAAGGGGGCUAGCGUUGCUCGGAAUGACUGGGCGUAAAGGGCGCGUAGGCGGCGAUCGAGGUCAGAUGUGAAAUUCCUGGGCUUAACCUGGGGGCUGCAUUUGAUACGUGGUGGCUUGAGUGCGGAAGAGGGUCGUGGAAUUCCCAGUGUAGAGGUGAAAUGCGUAGAUAUCUGGAGGAACACCGGUGGCGAAGGCGGCGUUCUGGACUGUCUCUGACACUGAAGAACGAAAGCCAGGGGAGCAAACGGG